ACUAUUUUGGCAGAUUAGUGCAAUAAAUUUAGAAUUUAUUAAAUGUAGUUUUUACUAUAAAUAGUA
This 66-nucleotide transfer RNA is filed under the name Diptera sp. 59 LC-2017. RNAcentral's name for it is "tRNA-Leu". The record is from RNAcentral. Lineage: Eukaryota; Metazoa; Arthropoda; Insecta; Diptera.